GGGUGAUUAGUUAAUUUAUAACGUGAGCAUGUCAAGCUUGAAUAGCUGUUUAGGUAUCAUCUU
Molecule: transfer RNA, 63 nt
Filed under: Limnadia lenticularis
Lineage: Eukaryota; Metazoa; Arthropoda; Branchiopoda; Diplostraca; Limnadiidae
Description: tRNA-Asp
Source: RNAcentral